CUACGGGUUGCUGCAGUGAGGAAUAUUGCACAAUGGGGGGAACCCUGAUGCAGCAACGCCGCGUAGAGGAUGACGCAUUUCGGUGUGUAAACUCCUUUUAUAUGUCAAGAAAAUGACGGUAGCAUAUGAAUAAGCACCGGCUAACUCCGUGCCAGCAGCCGCGGUAAUACGGAGGGUGCAAGCGUUACUCGGAAUCACUGGGCGUAAAGGACGCGUAGGCGGGUUGGAAAGUCAGGUGUGAAAUCCUACAGCUUAACUGUAGAACUGCACUUGAAACUUCUAAUCUAGAGUAUGGGAGGGGGAGAUGGAAUUAGUGGUGUAGGGGUAAAAUCCGUAGAUAUCACUAGGAAUACCUAAAGCGAAGGCGAUCUCCUGGAACAUUGUUGACGCUAAGGCGUGAAAGCGUGGGGAGCAAACAGGAUUAGAUACCCUAGUAGUC
RNAcentral lists this ribosomal RNA (439 nucleotides) under uncultured bacterium. RNAcentral's name for it is "partial 16S ribosomal RNA". It matches the Rfam family "Bacterial small subunit ribosomal RNA", at positions 339 to 795 of the family's 1533-position model. The record is from RNAcentral.